Molecule: long non-coding RNA, 569 nt
Organism: Stegodyphus dumicola
Lineage: Eukaryota; Metazoa; Arthropoda; Arachnida; Araneae; Eresidae
Source: RefSeq, a predicted model, not a curated record
UGAUAAGAUGGGUACAAGUAGUGAGACUGAUAAGAGAUACGAGGGAAGUCGGGAGGAAGGAGGGUACAUGUACCGAUAUCGUAUCAUCAAACAUGUUCUAGAAUAAAGAAACAAUUUCCUUAGAGGAACAAUGGCUUAAAAUUGUUCACAGCUAAGUAGUUAUUAAGAAGAGGGGAAAGUUGAGGAAAGGAAAUGAAUUCCAGACGAAGACAAAAAAAUUCUGGACAUUUGAAAGGCAGAGAGAUGAAAUAAUGAAAAUGUUUAUUUUUCCUGAGUAUGUUAACACAGAUGAAGAAUUAACGACAUAUGAAGAACUUAACAAUGCGGAAAUUGUCGCAGAUGUGAAAGGAAACGAGUGCGAGAGAAUAAAGAGAAUGAUUUUGAAACCGAGGAAGAACCGUUUUUAAUGAGCAUAAAUGUCAACAAUGCGUUUUAUGUUACCCAUCAUUAUACUAAAAGCUGUAGGCAUGUACUCUUUGAAUGUGUAUGCUUCGUGCAUUAUACAGAUUAACUUAUUUCUGAAGGCGUUUCAAGCGUGCCAAAAAUACUAUAAAAAAAUGUCUGAAAGA